GCAUAAACAAUGUUCUCUUUUUCAUACACUUCAUAAAGGUAGAACUCUUCAUCAAGAAUAGAAACAAUAAUUUCCUGGUCAUGGCAGCACUGCACUCAGGCUAGCUCUUUCUGCUACUUCGAUUGGACAGGAAAAAUGUUGAUUAUCCAUAAAUACCUCCUCCAUGGCUAAAUAUCUCCAGUUCUUUUCCUGUCCACAUUCCCUUUGUACAUUAGUCUUUUGGCUCUAUACUUUUUCUUUCGUUGGCUACCCAAGACUGUUUACUGCCCUUGCCUGGAUGGAGUUCAGCCUCUCUUCUCUGGAAUCUGCAAUACAUGGCGCCUCACCAAGACUUACAGUAUAGCCUAUUAUAAUUUGUUGACAACUAAUGUAUCUAAAGACACUUAUGAGAGAAUCAAGGCUCCCAACUAGAUUUGGCAGAACUGUCCCUACUUUGGGGUUCUGUCCUUCUGUCAUGGAUACACUACACAACUCACAAGUCUUACAUCAGAAAUAGGAAAGGAUGUAUUAUCGGACCUUAGAGUGGCCAGGCUUAACGUAAAACAUAAAUAGUCAAAAAUGGAAAUUCUAGCCAAGAUCAGUAUAACAGAAAUACAGGCAUACGAUAUAACUAGCCAGGUCAGGAUUAUAGUGGUCAACAAAGUCACAUAACAAGCCAAAGUCAAAAUAAAAGAAAAUUAGAGAAUACUAUAACUCACUGAAUGUGGAACCAGGAGGAAACCAUGACAGGGUAAUAAACACGGGGCUAAUACUUAUUUAAAUAUUAUGGGGCACUCUGAUUGGUCCACGUCAGCCUUGCGACACCAAAAAGUCCAGGAACGUAGUCGCAGUGAUAAUGUAGACCCCCAGAAAUUACACUAGGUAUCAUAUACUAAGGUAGAGGGGCGCCUCGAGCAUGCAGCAUCCUUC
Molecule: non-coding RNA, 909 nt
Organism: Pelobates cultripes (western spadefoot toad)
Lineage: Eukaryota; Metazoa; Chordata; Amphibia; Anura; Pelobatidae
Source: the annotation of a GenBank genome assembly